Molecule: long non-coding RNA, 916 nt
Organism: Vigna angularis (adzuki bean)
Lineage: Eukaryota; Viridiplantae; Streptophyta; Magnoliopsida; Fabales; Fabaceae
Exons: 2
Source: RefSeq, a predicted model, not a curated record
UUAAAAAGAAAUUGAAUUUACUAAGCACGGAACCCUCGACCUCUCGUCUCUCGAACCCUAAUUCCACCUUUAUUCCCUGCAACUUUCAUUCCACCUCUCUUCUCUCUCGACCUCUCCUCCCGAGCCUUAAUUCUAUUUCACAUUUCUCUGCAACCUUCAUUCCAGCACUCCUCUUCCUUUCAUUCUUCGUUCUUCUUGCAUAUAACUCUCACAUAAAGUUAUAAACACUGAAACAACGAGAGCAAGUUUCACCAUCUUCACCCUCUUACUUUCCUUUUUCGCAACGAGAGCAAGUUCUUCCUUUCAAUGUUUGAUUAUAUAUUAGUUUAACUUGCUUGGGAGUUUGGUGUGAUUUCUAUUUUUCUAUUUUGAUGAUAGUUAUGACAUGGAUAGAUAUUGUUUUUGGAAUAAACUGACUUUUAAAAGGAUGGUUAUAUAGUUCCAUGUUGUUGUCUUUGUGAUGUUAUGGGUGAUCAUUUUGUUCAAAUUCUCAUCUGCAUACCACAUGAUUGACCAUUGGCCAGAGGUCUUUCCUGCAGCUACAGAUUCACGCUACUUCCGUGACCUUGGAUUACCAGCUAUUGGAUUCUCACCUAUGGCAAACACCCCUCUUCUACUCCAUGACCAUAAUGAGGUUUGGAGAGACCAAAUGCUACUUUAGCAUAUGUGGUACAGUCCCUAAAGUUCAGUUUGAAGAUAGUGUGUUGGAAGCUUUAUUAAUGUCGAUUAAUCUUAGUGGUUUGAAAAACCUUUUAUAAUUGUAAAUGGCUUUGACAUAGUGCCAGCUUAGAUUAUUAAAUUUGUUUAUUAUGAAUAUAUAUUAAAAUUGUGGGUGUUGAAUAGGUAACACAUUGUAAGAGAUUUAUUAAUGUAAUUGUUUAAGAGAUUGUUAAAGAAUAAGAGUUGUAUUUAUUUU